AGGGAUCAUUACUGAGUGUAAAAACUCCCAAACCCCUGUGAACAUACCAUCUGUUGCUUCGGCGGGAUCGCCCCGGGCGCCUUUGCGUGCCCCGGAUCCAGGCGCCCGCCGGAGGACUCCAAACUCUUGUUUUUAUAUAUGGCAUUAUCUGAGUGGCUUAUAGCAAAAUAAAUCAAAACUUUCAACAAUGGAUCUCUUGGCUCUGGCAUCGAUGAAGAACGCAGCGAAAUGCGAUAAGUAAUGCGAAUUGCAGAAUUCAGUGAAUCAUCGAAUCUUUGAACGCACAUUGCGCCCGCCAGUAUUCUGGCGGGCAUGCCUGUCUGAGCGUCAGUUCAACCCUCACAACCGGCUUUCUUGCUGGAUGUGGUGUUGGGGAUCGGCUGCCUUUCUUCUAGGUGGCCGGCCCCGAAAUAGAGUGGCGGUCUCGUCGUGGCCUCCUCUGCGUAGUAGCAAUAUCUCGCAGGCGGAGAGCGGCGUGGCUAUGCCGUAAAACACCCAACUCUUCUAAGGUUGACCUC
RNAcentral lists this ribosomal RNA (518 nucleotides) under Acremonium sp. LB-2012. RNAcentral's name for it is "eukaryotic LSU rRNA". The stretch from base 177 to 330 matches the Rfam family "5.8S ribosomal RNA". The record is from RNAcentral. Lineage: Eukaryota; Fungi; Ascomycota; Sordariomycetes; Hypocreales; Bionectriaceae.